UGUUUUGUUUUGUUUUUAAUGUAGCAAAGGCUUAAACUGCUUAAAAGGGCUAUUCAAAUCUUCCUUUGUUUUCAAGACAGGGUCUCACUAUGUAGCUCAGAUUAGGCCCAGCCUUGUGUCUUCCUGCCUCAGUCUCCUGAGUGCUGGUGUCACAGGCUUGUGCCACCAAUCUCCUUGAACAUCCCAUUAUGAGCAGUGCAGCCUAAUGUCUGAAGAUCUCUAACUUGAAAGCACAAGGGAGCUGUCCCAAAGCUUUUAAUGAGAGCAUCAUUGCAGCUGCAGAGGGAUACUGGCCGGUGACCCUCAGUGACAGGAAGACUAUCUUAGUGAGGGCUCGUGAUGGCAUCUGGGUGACUGCCAAGAGAGUUUGGGGGUGAGCUUUGCCCUGGGUUGGGUACCAUGGAGAUGUUGGGGUAAUGAAGUGGUACUUUAAUAAAUCUAGUACUGUAGUGGAAUCAGACAGAGCAGGAUGGAGACCAGAGCUGUAACCCACAUGGAAACAGUGAUUCCUCUUCUCGGACACAGUCUGGAGAAAUCAAGCCAGGUCAUUGCCCAGUCAUGGCUAUGUUGGGUUUUGUAUAGACAGUGGCAGAGAGGCCUUGUUUCUGUCCAGCUCAUCAGUUACAAGGCAUCUCUGCUGAUGGUGUCUUGUGAGGUCUUUAUGUCCCACCCAGGUCCAACCUGUUGUUGUGAGCCUCAGAUUGUCUUGCAGGGACACCUAAGGCUGGCAGUCUUCUGGGUUCAGCUCCCAGAAGUCAGUCGGUUUUGCUGUUUCUCUGCUGACAACAACAGCAAUUCAAGUGGUUCUUUUCCCCUUUGAAGAGUGGAUGGGGGCGUGGCUCAUCAUGACACCAGAGAGAAAGUGGGAGAAUCUGAGGAGCAGGACAUUGAAAUCAAUACAUGGGCUCCUGAGCCCAGGCCCUGAGCCUCAAACAAGCAGGUAUUUACUUACUCCUGACCAGUCUUGCAUAAGCUUUGUGGUCUUUUAUGGCCUGAUGUUCAAGGUCACCAUGACACCUGCUCUACUGGUCUGAGCAGUCAUAAGGCUCCAGUGUGGGGAAGGACAAGAGGUUGAAACACCUUGAUUGGAAGAUUGUCAAAGAACACACACACACACACACACACACACACACACACACACACACACACAGUACUGCAGGUAAUAUGCACAUGUAGAAAUCACGUUUCUGAUUUAGGCAGUCAUGUGACUAGGUUCUGCAGAUAAUUUUAUUUAUUUGUGUAUUAUGUUAUGUCUAUGGGUAUUUUGUCAGAUUGUAUGUCUGUGUACUACGUAUGUCUGGUGGAGGCCUAAAGAGGGUAGGACAGUGGAUUCCUGCAACCACAGUUACAGAUGGUUGGGAACUGCCUGAUGUGAUCUGGGAAUCGAACUCUAGUCCUCCAGAAGGGCAUCCAGCGAUCCAUUGAUGCAACUACAGAGUCAUCUCUGCAGAUGCUUUACAAGGAGAAACACCUGGGAAGAAGAUAGGAAAACUGCUUGCUGGAGCUGACUAGGGCAGACGCUGCGUCCUGUGCACAGCACUUUCCCUUUGAUCUAAGGUAUGGUGUGAUGGCCAGAGCCCAGCAGCUUGGGCCAUGAGGAGAGCCAUGGAUUUAAACCACAUGGAUUUAAAAAGACUGUAGAGGUUUGGGGAUCUUCUGAUGGAAGAGCUGACCUGCCAACCAUUGCCCACUUCACCUAAGAGUUGGACGGAUUUUUACCUUGUCUAAACCACUCUCAGGUGCCUUGGAUGCCCCUGCAGUGGACACAUCGCUCCUUGAACUCCGUUUCGUCCGUGACUCAUCUCAGUUCUGCCAGUUGCUGCCCUUCAUGACUCCUGGCCUUGUCCUGGGCAGAAAGGGCUGUCUUCUUGUUUUAAGGCUCUGUUGCUGUCAUGUCCAAGUUCUUAUAUCUGGGCCUGGUGCUGGGAGUGAGGUCUGAUCAGACAAUGAGAUGUGCACGUGAGGAGGGAAGUGGGUGUCUGCAGCUCAUGGGUGGUGCGUACAGUUCCACGUGAGCAGAGAACUGUGGGAGCCCACAUGCACCCUUGAUGAGGUCCAGAUCAAGCAGAGGGUGGUGUGUGGUGGCUGCCUAGGCUGAGGCUGCCUGUGUUGGAGGCUUUCCUUACCACGGAGCCCAUCACUGGGACAAGAUGCAGAGUGUUUGCUUUUGCGACUAAGACUGAAGUUCUUGAAUGUGCCCAGAUAAACAGUAUCAUUUAUUUAUUUGAGUGGAAGCCAGUCUUUUCUUAGAAGCACAGAAUAUUCAUGAUGUGUCAGGGAAGGCCCUAGAAAGUGCAAUGCCUAUGUCACAGGGAAAGCCACAUGCAGUUUAACUGCCCCCGAAUUCCUCUACAAAAUCAUAUUUUCUUCCCAGAAUGGCUUUCUUUCCCUUUUAAGUGUGUGUGAACAUGUCUGCUCCUUCCUCACAUGCCUGACUUCAUGGAGAGACACACUUUAAGUGCAAGAACAAACUGAACACACCUGCAGCCAUCACAAAGGUUGGGAAGCCAGCGUUCCCAGGACCCUGGACACUGCGCUGAGCCUCCUCCAAGUGAAGAUGCGCCUUCCACUGUCUGACUACUACUACUUACUCAUUAUCUUCUGUUGCUUCUCAGAGGCUACUUACAAUGUGCUUUCUGAAUUCCAGCUCUGGUCACAGCCCUUAGGCCCAGGGACACAGAUGUAAGGGUGUUAGAUAAUCUUUUACCUUUCUUUGGGACUUAUUCUCAAACUGUGUUUCCAUGGAACCCUGAGAUCAUUUCCCAAUCAGCAGGAAAAAGAACAGAUUCCUGGACUGGCUUCUGUGUUGAGAGCCUUUGAGGUCCAUUUCUGAGUUUCAGUAGUGACAAUGAGCAAGAAGCAGGGGAUGAUGGGAAAACACAGUAGUACCCUAGGUCACCCUUGACACAGUGGUCACCAAUUGCACAGUCAUCGUAUGGGUUCUAAUCCACUGCUCUCUCAACCCACUCUAUUCCUAAAGUCUAGACACAAUGGCUUCCAGACUCUGGAUGGGAAGUGGUAGGUGUUGGCCACUCAGGAAGGGUCUGGGACAGCCAGGAGACACUCUGGUCCCACACCCCGACCCUCACCCCUUUCCAGACCAGAAUCAACACCUGAACUCUCUUCCAGGGCAGGAAGCAUAGUACAGCAGCAGAAUACUUGUCUGGCAUGUGCCUGUGUGUCCUGAAACCAUGGCAGGACAGUCAGGAAGCCAGAAACCUGAGCACACAGGUCAGUGUCAAUAAGACAAAAAGACCACCAACAGAUUGGGAAAGGAUCUUUACCUAUCCUAAAUCAGAUAGGGGACUAAUAUCCAACAUAUAUAAAGAACUCAAGAAGGUGGACUUCAGAAAAUCAAAUAACCCCAUUAAAAAAUGGGGCUCAGAACUGAACAAAGAAUUCUCACCUGAGGAAUACCGAAUGGCAGAGAAGCACCUGAAAAAAUGUUCAACAUCCUUAAUCAUCAGGGAAAUGCAAAUCAAAACAACCCUGAGAUUCCACCUCACACCAGUCAGAAUGGCUAAGAUCAAAAAUUCAGGUGACAGCAGAUGCUGGCGUGGAUGUGGAGAAAUAGGAACACUCCUCCAUUGUUGGUGGGAUUGCAAGCUUGUACAACCACUCUGGAAAUCAGUCUGGCGGUUCCUCAGAAAAUUGGACAUAGUACUACCAGAGAAUCCAGCAAUACCUUUCCUGGGCAUAUAUCCAGAAGAUGCCCCAACUGGUAAGAAGGACACAUGCUCCACUAUGUUCAUAGCAGCCUUAUUUAUAAUAGCCAGAAGCUGGAAAGAACCCAGAUGCCCCUCAACAGAGGAAUGGAUACAGAAAAUGUGGUACAUCUACACAAUGGAGUACUACUCAGCUAUUAAAAAGAAUGAAUUUAUGAAAUUCCUAGCCAAAUGGAUGGACCUGGAGGGCAUCAUCCUGAGUGAGGUAACACAUUCACAAAGAAACUCACACAAUAUGUACUCACUGAUAAGUGGAUAUUAGCCCCAAACCUAGGAUACCCAAGAUAUAAGAUAUAAUUUGCUAAACACAUGAAUCUCAAGAAGAAUGAAGACUGAAGUGUGGACACUAUGCCCCUCCUUAGAUUUGGGAACAAAACAGCCAUGGAAGGAGUUACAGAGACAAAGUUUGGAGCUGAGAUGAAAGGAUGGACCAUGUAGAGACUGCCAUAUCCAGGGAUCCACCCCAUAAUCAGCAUCCAAACGCUGACACCAUUGCAUACACUAGCAAGAUUUUAUUGAAAGGACCCAGAUGUAGCUGUCUCUUGUGAGACUAUGCCGGGGCCUAGCAAACACAGAAGUGGAUGCUCACAGUCAGCUAAUGGAUGGAUCAUAGGACUCCCAAUGGAGGAGCUAGAGAAAGUAGCCAAGGAGCUAAAGGGAUCUGCAACCCUAUAGGUGGAACAACAUUAUGAACUAACCAGUACCCCGGAGCUCUUGACUCUAGCUGCAUAUAUAUCAAAAGAUGGCCUAGCCGGCCAUCACUGGAAAGAGAGGCCCAUUGGACUUGCAAACUUUAUAUGCCCCAGUACAGGGGAACACCAGGGCCAAAAAGGGGGAGUGGGUGGGCAGGGGAGUGGGGGUGGGUGGAUAUGGGGGACUUUUGGUAUAGCAUUGGAAAUGUAAAUGAGCUAAAUACCUAAUAAAAAAUGGAAAAAAAAAAAAGAAAUAUCUGAAGGUCGGCUCCUGUGCCGUGGAAGUGGCAUGGAGAGGAAUUCCAUAGGUUGUCACAGGGAAUGGGCAGGAUAUCGCUCUGUUCCCAGGCCUGAUGACUUACUAGGUUAUAGGGAUCUCGCCUUCCCUCUGCAAGGGGACAAAGCUUCUUCUGUGUUUCUUGCACCAGCGCUAAAACCAGGGCCCUGAAUUAUGCCACAGGGACAUGAAAGUCAACUGGAAACGGACAGUUCUUCCAUGGCAGCCUAUGGACACCUGGACUCUUACUCCAUAGUAGGAACCCUGGGACGAGGCAGAUUCAGAAGUCAUGGAGAGCCCUGGCUGUAGGCUGAAUUCUAGAAUCUCUUCUUAGAGUUCUAGGGUCCCUGAGGGCUUUAGCCAAGAGGAACGCACUCUAGGAGGGAAGUAUGAUCUCUUAGGAGCAAAAGAUGGAGGUCCGUGGUAUGAACACAGUGAACUCCAGUAUAGCAACAGCCUUUACUGGCCUCAUGCAGUGCUCUCAGGAACAGUGUGUGCUGUCUGGCUGCCUCCUCUGGGGACCCACCAGGCACCAAUGAGAACAGCCUGGUUUGGAGAUCCUUCCAGAAAGUUCUGUUAGCCUUGUGAUGGGCAGCAAGGACAGCACUUUAGUUUUUUUAUGAAAUGAUAGGACACCGAGUGGAGGCAAGAAGAAGGAUCAAAGAUUUGGGGUAGGAAUUUCAGCUGCAAACAUUCCCGAUCCUGUUUGCAGGAACUGCAGCCUCCAGGAGAUUCAGCCUGCUCUCCAAGCCAUCCCUGUCCCUGCCGGACUCCAACAGCAGCUGUGAUCUGGAGUUUGUCCAUUAGACCAGACCAAGUGGCCAGUGAACCGCAGGGACCCGCCUGUCUCUGCUGCCUCAGUGCUGGGAUUGCAGGAGCAUGCACCACGCCCAUCUUUUCAUGGGGGUUCUGGGAACAAGCUCUGUUUCUCAAGAUGUGUCCAUGCCGGUGCUUUACUGACUGGGCCGUCUCCUCAGCUCAGAAACUAGCUAGCAUUCAUGGCCGCCUGCUUCCUGCUGGGAAACUGGGACAUUGACACAGGUGGCUUCAUUUCUCCAUAGCACAACACAGCUAGAAGGAAGCAUUCCUGAGUCCAUCUCUCAGGCAGGACAAUAAAGACUAUGAGAAGCUGGGCAACUAGCCUCGGGUCUCAAGGACAGUAUGACCUCCCCCAGCAAAUUCUGCCUGGUCUCACAUGGUAGGUAGUAAAAAAGCUCUGCUGGGUGAAUGCUUAA
This is a long non-coding RNA of Mus musculus (house mouse), 5929 nucleotides long. RefSeq annotates it as predicted gene 14154. The transcript is spliced from 5 exons. Lineage: Eukaryota; Metazoa; Chordata; Mammalia; Rodentia; Muridae. The record is from RefSeq and is a predicted model, not a curated record.